Molecule: long non-coding RNA, 146 nt
Organism: Ceratitis capitata (Mediterranean fruit fly)
Lineage: Eukaryota; Metazoa; Arthropoda; Insecta; Diptera; Tephritidae
Exons: 2
Source: RefSeq, a predicted model, not a curated record
AUACGAUAAUUGUUUUAUUUGUUCUCCUGCUCUCUCCUGCUUUAUGAAUUCGCUGUGGCUCAACCCGCUCAAACGAAAAUCGGUAAAAUCCAGCCAUUGCGAAACACCAACUGCAGCAAGAAUUAAUGUGACCAAAACAAUUAUAG